AUACGUAGGGGGCAAGCGUUAUCCGGAAUCAUUGGGCGUAAAGGGUGCGUAGGCGGCCCUAUAGGUCAGAGGUCAAAGGCUACGGCUCAACCGUAGUAAGCCUUUGAAACUGUAGGGCUUGAGUGCAGGAGAGGAGAGUGGAAUUCCUAGUGUAGCGGUGAAAUGCGUAGAUAUUAGGAGGAACACCAGUGGCGAAGGCGACUCUCUGGACUGCAACUGGCGCUGAGGCACGAAAGCGUGGGGAGCGAACAGGAUUAGAUACCCUGGUAGUCCACGCCGUAAACGAUGAGUGCUAGGUGUUGGGGGUCGAACCUCGGUGCCGCAGUUAACGCAUUAAGCACUCCGCCUGGGGAGUACGUACGCAAGUAUGAAACUCAAAUGAAUUGACGGGG
This 392-nucleotide ribosomal RNA is filed under the name uncultured bacterium. Its description in RNAcentral is "partial 16S ribosomal RNA". It matches the Rfam family "Bacterial small subunit ribosomal RNA", at positions 523 to 918 of the family's 1533-position model. The record is from RNAcentral.